This 375-nucleotide ribosomal RNA is filed under the name Triticum aestivum (bread wheat). Its description in RNAcentral is "partial small subunit ribosomal RNA". Lineage: Eukaryota; Viridiplantae; Streptophyta; Magnoliopsida; Poales; Poaceae. The record is from RNAcentral.
AUGUACACAUUAUUUUGUCUAUCCAACAAGCAAAUUUCCACGACAAGCAAACAAUUCAAGCACCAAAUAGUGCAUGAACCACAUCAGGAGGAGAGGAGAGGGACCAAACAGCGAGGUCACUUGCCUUUUAUCUGCCGGCAACCAUAUCAGUCAUUGUCGCCGUCGCCUCCUGCUGCCUCGACCACCAUUGUGGAUCAGCAGCGUCUUGCACUGCACUAUCAUAUUCAUGUAUUUACUCUAAUAAAGAGAAUUUUCAUCAUACAAGGAUGUGCUUCUGCAACUAACAUGCAUCUACAGAAGACCCUAUAUAGUAUAUGUGAUCAAAUUUAUUCCUCUCCAAUGUCCAUAAUUGCCAUCUCCUCCCUAUGUUCCUAA